This 28-nucleotide non-coding RNA is filed under the name Bombyx mori (domestic silkworm). The record is from RNAcentral. Lineage: Eukaryota; Metazoa; Arthropoda; Insecta; Lepidoptera; Bombycidae.
UAGUCUAAGUCUCCAACGGGUCAGUCUA